GAAAUGCGAUACCUGGUGUGAAUUGCAGAAUCCCGCGAACCAUCGAGUCUUUGAACGCAAGUUGCGCCCGAGGCCACUCGGCCGAGGGCACGCCUGCCUGGGCGUCACGCCAAAACACGCUCCCAACCACCCUCAACGGGAUUCGGGAUGCGGCAUCUGGUCCCUCGUCUCUCAAGGGACGGUGGACCGAAGAUUGGGCUGCCGGCGUACCGCGCCGGACACAGCGCAUGGUGGGCGUCCUCGCUUUAUCAAUGCAGUGCAUCCGGCGCGCAGCUGGCAUUAUGGCCUUUGAACGACCCAACAAACGAAGCGCACGUCGCUUCGACCGCGACCCCAGUACCCGCUGAGUUUAA
Molecule: unclassified non-coding RNA, 353 nt
Filed under: uncultured fungus
Lineage: Eukaryota; Fungi
Description: sequence contains ITS1
Rfam family: 5.8S ribosomal RNA (bases 1-107)
Source: RNAcentral